UGGGGAAUAUUGCACAAUGGGCGAAAGCCUGAUGCAGCAACGCCGCGUGAGUGAUGAAGGUCUUCGGAUUGUAAAGCUCUGUCUUUUGGGACGAUAAUGACGGUACCAAAGGAGGAAGCCACGGCUAACUACGUGCCAGCAGCCGCGGUAAUACGUAGGUGGCGAGCGUUGUCCGGAUUUACUGGGCGUAAAGGGUGCGUAGGCGGAUGUUUAAGUGAGAUGUGAAAUACCCGGGCUUAACUUGGGUGCUGCAUUUCAAACUGGAUAUCUAGAGUGCAGGAGAGGAGAAUGGAAUUCCUAGUGUAGCGGUGAAAUGCGUAGAGAUUAGGAAGAACACCAGUGGCGAAGGCGAUUCUCUGGACUGUAACUGACGCUGAGGCACGAAAGCGUGGGUAGCAAACAGGAUUAGAUACCCUGGUAGUCCACGCCGUAAACGAUGAGUACUAGGUGUAGGAGGUAUCGACCCCCUCUGUGCCGCAGUAAACACAUUAAGUACUCCGCCUGGGAAGUACGAUCGCAAGAUUAAAACUCUAAGUGAAUUGACGGGGUC
Molecule: ribosomal RNA, 550 nt
Filed under: uncultured bacterium
Lineage: Bacteria
Description: partial 16S ribosomal RNA
Rfam family: Bacterial small subunit ribosomal RNA
Source: RNAcentral